GGGCAGGUGGCGGAACUGGUAGACGCGCUGGACUUAGGAUCCAGUGCUGCAAAGCGUGAGGGUUCGAUUCCCUCCCUGCCCA
Molecule: transfer RNA, 82 nt
Filed under: Vulgatibacter incomptus
Lineage: Bacteria; Pseudomonadati; Myxococcota; Myxococcia; Myxococcales; Vulgatibacteraceae
Rfam family: tRNA
About the family: Transfer RNA (tRNA) molecules are approximately 80 nucleotides in length. Their secondary structure includes four short double-helical elements and three loops (D, anti-codon, and T loops).
Source: Rfam by way of RNAcentral